GUCAGAGGAACCCAUCUCUGGCGCUCUUUAAGGUGAGAAUCCUUGACAAUCCUGUGGGGCUUAUAUCUCAGCACUUAUUACCACUCUGAGGGGUGGCAGAUAAAAUUCAUUAUUGAUAGUAUGUUAUACUAGUCACUGACUAAGUGAGGUAUAUUACAUUAUUAAUAAUGUGACUGAGUAUUAGUGCAGACGUUAAAAUCAGGA
RNAcentral lists this non-coding RNA (204 nucleotides) under unclassified sequences. The record is from RNAcentral.